CUUGGCAGUUUCCCUGCUUGUUACAAAAUCCAAAUGGAAUACAGUUCUCAUUAUUGUCUGGUGGGUGUCUUUUUCGUUGUUGACUAGUAAAAUGACUGAACUCUUUAAAAGCACAAAAUAGCAGCAAAAGGUUUACAGGCCAUGGCAGAAUGUCAAGAACUUGGAUGCUAUGUGCUCCUGCUAAAAUUUCAAUAUUUAGAGCUGA
This 205-nucleotide unclassified non-coding RNA is filed under the name Hevea brasiliensis (rubber tree). Lineage: Eukaryota; Viridiplantae; Streptophyta; Magnoliopsida; Malpighiales; Euphorbiaceae. The record is from RNAcentral.